GACGGAGGAUGCAAGUGUUAUCCGGAAUCACUGGGCGUAAAGGGAGCGUAGGCGGCGCGGUAAGUCAGAUGUGAAAUCCCGGGGCUCAACCCCGGAACUGCAUCCGAUACUGCCGUGCUAGAGGAUUGGAGAGGUAGCUGGAAUUCUUGGUGUAGCAGUGAAAUGCGUGGAGAUCAAGAGGAACACUCGUGGCGAAAGCGAGCUACUGGACAAUAUCUGACGCUGAGGCUCGAAGGCCAGGGUAGCGAAAGGG
This 253-nucleotide ribosomal RNA is filed under the name uncultured bacterium. Its description in RNAcentral is "partial 16S ribosomal RNA". It matches the Rfam family "Bacterial small subunit ribosomal RNA", at positions 524 to 776 of the family's 1533-position model. The record is from RNAcentral.